Molecule: non-coding RNA, 4553 nt
Organism: Aegilops tauschii subsp. strangulata
Lineage: Eukaryota; Viridiplantae; Streptophyta; Magnoliopsida; Poales; Poaceae
Source: RefSeq, a predicted model, not a curated record
UUUCAAAUACUUUUUCAACAUUUUAAUACUUGUUCAAUAAUUUUCAAAUCCUUGUUCAACAUUUUCCAAUACUUGUUCAACAUUUAUCAUAUACUUGUUCAACAUUUUUUAUAUAAUCGUUCAACAUUUUUUGAUAACUGUUCAACAUUUUUCAAAUAUGUUUUCAACAUUUUAUAAAUGUGAUUUUGCAGCGUGUUUUUUGUAAUAUAUACAUAUAUUUAUGUAGAAUAUUUCUAAAGUAUAAAUAAAAGUCCAAAAUGAAGCAAAAAAUGAGAACAGAAAAUAGAAAAUAAAACAGGUUCCCGUGCUGCUGGGCCGGCCCGUCAGGGCUCCAUCCGACGCGAGCGCAGCGCCCUGCUCGCUGAACGCGAGAAAAAAAACAUCGCCCUGCAUACAGUGUUGCGGCUGGUCCUUGCGGAGGCACUCGUUCUUUGCCGGCGCCGACGGGGGAAUGGAGGAUGCUAGUAUGGAGUUCCUGCAUGACGCCGUUGAAAGGUUCCCCCUGAGAGAGGAAUUCGCUGACAACUUUGAGCACCCAGAUCCGAUUCCCCUCGUCUUCUUGGCGGACGAUGUAGCCGGUCAUGUGGUUCUUGCGGAAUCUAAUACUGGGUCUGGUUGCGCGAAAAAGGUCGGAGACAAUGGAACACGUAGAGCGCGUGAAGGAGUUCGUCGUCGCCAUGAUGCAUUUCCGACAAGGUCGGCGCAAUCCACAAGCGCCUGGCUGGACAAAAAGGCUGCGGUUAGGCAGUGUGCCACCAAACCGGGCACCGUGUCCUUCUCGGAUGAGCGCUCUGGAGCAGUCGACCCGCAAGUAUGCAGAGGAGCUGAUAAGAGUGUAGUACGGCCUGAACUUGGUUUGAGUUUUGAUUCAUUGGGCGAGGCGCGCGACUUCUAUAAUUUGUACUCUUGGGAGAUCAGCUUUGGAAUAUGGUACGGGAAAAGCAGACUAAACGCCGAGAGGACUAAAGUACGGAAAAAGCAGACUAAAUGUGCGUACUCAUGGGGUUAUACCAGUGAGAUAGGGUGAAGCGAACGAUGGUGCAGGUGGGUGUUCCAGUGAACAAGAAGAUGAGGAAAUGAAGGAACGUGUGCGCAGCCUAGCUGCAGCAGCACAUGCUGUAGUCGACCGAGCCAUAGACAGUCCAGGACUCUUCGAAGGCAUAUUCGAGCAAGCGAGGGAUCUCCUAUCAAGACUUGGAGUGUGAGGAUACAUGCAGUCUGGUGCCUCACCUGGUGGUCAAGAACAGUGGGGUUUUAGCUCUACAUCUGCAGAAGAUGGUGAACACGAUGGCAUAAAUUGGGAUUUAAGUAGAGAAUGAAAGCCAGGAAGCUACAGAAAUGGAGACUCAGGAUCAAAACAAUACAGAGGAGGGGGGCAGAGCAGUUGCAGCUACUGAAGUUGAUGAUCAGGACAACAUCAAUUGGGAAGAACUAGGGAAUGCUAGUCAAGAAGCGCCAGCGUUGUCAACUGAAGAACAAAUUGAUGGUGACAAUAUAUUCGGUAUUCGCAAGGAAUCUUGAUGCCCUAUACAGCGGCAUAGAAUUGGACGAUGAUUUCCUAGAUGUGGCAUCAUAGGUGCCAAUUAAUUACAUGGUAGAACAAGUUGCAGUAGGUGCGCCAUCAUAUGUUGUUGAUGAAGAUCACAUAUAUUCUCUGCUUGCUUCUAUGAACACAUGCAUUCGAUGGGUUGCAUGGAUUGGAGCAAUGCUGGUUGUGGGGAGCUCCAGGCCAGGAGACGACACAGACGAAGACCCGCCUUGCAACGGUGUUAUCUUGCUAGGCUGGCAUAAUGAGGACCAAGAGGCACAACCAGAAGCUAGCAGAGACGGUGUCCGUGCAAGCCAACGCCAGAAAUCCCGUACCCAUUUUGUUGAUGUGGUGACAAACUGACGCUCUGGUCCUGCUUUCCGUCGUGAUGAUGAAGAUGGUGGUGAUGGCAGCUCCGACAAAGAGCAUGGCUUCUGUUAGCGGUGGAUCAGCAUCUAGAUUCCAGCAGGCUAUUGUCAACUAUCUGGAGAAGUGUGGUAUUCAGUACACGGUGAAUAAAACAAUGGUAAAGGGCAUACUUCCAUACCAGGGGCUGCAACUGCAGGUGCAGAUAAUUCAGCCAGGUGUGAGUGGGGGGAGAAGCAGUCCGUUGGACUAUAUCAUGUACAACCGUGUGAAAAUGACAUUUCGUUCCAUGUGAACAUGCUAGAGUGUGGCGAGAUCGGAAGAAAUGAUUCAAGCACUUUCAUCCAAUAUUGGCAGUGGCAUAUGGUCAGCACCUGAAAGAUGAGCUCACUCCCGGUGGCGAGUUGACACUGAAUACUUGGAGAUGCAUCCAUCACAUGCUUAGUCAGAUGGAGAAUACAAUAUACCGCGGGUGGCUUGAUAGGUUUAGAGGGAGUUUUGAUCCCGUUUUGUGGCAGGAAGAGCUGUGUAGGGAUGAUACUGAAACUGACUGGGAUUACAUCAGCACUAUGAUGGAUUCAGAAGUGAUGGGGCUAUAGGAUUGACUGGCUGAAGAAGGUAAAUGGAUUGGCUACCACAAACCUAGCAAUACUAUUUCCCUAUGGUACUAUCUAUCUGAUUUUGUAUGUGUGUUAUUGAACAAAUAAACUUUUAGUUCAUGUUCCCGGCGAACUUCAUGGAUACAGAGAAGAAAAUUAUGAUGGUGCUUGACCCUACUGAGACUGAUCCAACGGAUGAGAUGAAAAUCAAACAUGAGGCACUAGCAAAGAAGUUCCAGCAUAGGCUCUGCACCAUAUUCAAUGACUUUUCCGGUGCUGAGUUGGUUGAUACCCGUGGAUGGUCAUUUGUGUACCCGUUUGUGGCGCAACAUGAGCCAUGCAGUAGGUGUGUGCGACUGCCUUGAUCAUGCACAGGGUUUUUGUUGUUUAGGGAAAAAAAUCCUGUAACCCUUUUUAGUGUACAUCUUGUUUGCUUCGGAGGGAAGACAGUGAAUUGUAUAUCAUGCACUACUUCCUAGAGUGGACCCCCAAGAUGCAGCCAAGCACCUCAAGCACAUCCUGGACGACUUUGCUGCAGCCACUGGCCUGCAGAUCAACUUCACCAAAACAACUUUCAUCCCCCUAAAUGUGGACCCCCAGGAUGCCACUCAAAUGGCCUCAGACCUUGCCACGAACAUCUUCUCCUUCCCCCAAAUCUACCUGGGGUUACCUCUCUCUCGCACAAACUACCGCCCUCUGCCUUCCAGCCUGUCAUUGACCGUUGUGAUACCUAUCUAGCUGGCUGGUGUGCCUUCUCUCGCGUGGCGGUAAACUAGUUCUCCUCUCUGCUGUCCUAGACAGCCUCCCCACAUAUUUUAUGCUUUGUUUCUCUCUUCCCAUCCAGGUUAUUGAAGCAAUUGAUAAAAGUAGACACACCUUUUUUGUUCCAACGACGAGACCUGCUCAGGGGCUAAAUGCUUGGUUGCUUGGGAUAAAGUGUGCACUCCUAGAGAUGCAGGUGGUUUGGGUGUUAAAAACCUUCGCGCAUAAUUUUUUUGUUUACUGCUGAUAUUUGCUUACAAAUUUUUACAUUCCACCUCCCUCCCUUCGAAGGACUGGGUUUUGCAUCACUCGCCCCUCCACAUUGGUCAUGGAAAAAACAGCUCCUUUCUUGCAAAAACUAUUUUUAAACAUCUUCAGAGUUUGAGAGAGAUUUACCAGUGCACUAUUGGAGACGGUUGUUCCACCUUCUUUUGGUUAGAUCGAUGGCUAAAGCCAGAACCACUGGCUAUAGUUUACCCAACCCUUUUUUCACACCAUACAAAACCAAAUGCCAUGGUAGCUACCAUUAUGCAGGAGGGGAUCGAACUUGCUCUUCGUAAUCGGCUAACCACUACUGCGAUUGCAGAACUUGCCUCUCUAAACACUUCGUUGCAGGAUUGUGUUCUCUUGCAGGUUCCAGACACUCGUCGCCUGCUCAGCGGGUCUGCCUUCUCGACCCGGGGUGUGUACGCAGCUCUUUCGGAGCACCUCUCCGACCCCAUGCUUGCUGCCAUUUGGGACUCAAAAGUGCCCAAAAAGGUUAUGAUCUUCAGGUGGCUCUUCUACCUCGAUCGCCUUAACACCUGAAAGAACUUGCAUAAAAAGAUCAUCCUUGAUACAGAAGCAUGCCCAAGAUGCUCUCACCAGGUAGAAGACCGCGAGCACUUGUUCUUCACAUGCCCGGCAGCUCGGAGGAUUUGGCGGGCCACUACCAUUCGCCCAGGCUUCACGCUUAUUGGUGACCUCUUCACCACGACUUUACCGGCUGCAUUGCCCACCUCGGUCUGCCCAUUCAUGCUCCUUCUCGUUCUCUGGAAGAUCUGGGACGCACGAAACAAAAAGUCUUCCAAGGGAUAGAUCUUGCUGCUUCUGAUUCCGUUAGGGCUAUUAUUGAUGACCUGAUUGUAUGGGCUCCUCGGCUCAAAACCGAGAGUCUAAAGGAACACGUCGGGCUGUGGCGUGACUUCCUCUCCUCACACAAUGUGUGAUCUCUGUACACAACUGCAAUGUUUGAAAUAUAUUCAGGUGGGGAGCCUUUCCCCCCCGGUGACCAUUUAAAAAAAACUUCCUCGAGUUCA